Molecule: ribosomal RNA, 235 nt
Filed under: uncultured Bacillus sp.
Lineage: Bacteria; Bacillati; Bacillota; Bacilli; Caryophanales; Bacillaceae
Description: partial 16S ribosomal RNA
Rfam family: Bacterial small subunit ribosomal RNA
Source: RNAcentral
GUGAGUAACACGUGGGCAACCUGCCUAUGAGACUGGGAUAACUCCGGGAAACCGGGGCUAAUACCGGAUAAUUCUUUUCUACACAUGUAGAAAAGCUGAAAGAUGGUUUCGGCUAUCACCCAUAGAUGGGCCCGCGGCGCAUUAGCUAGUUGGUGAGGUAACGGCUCACCAAGGCGACGAUGCGUAGCCGACCUGAGAGGGUGAUCGGCCACACUGGGACUGAGACACGGCCCAG